RNAcentral lists this ribosomal RNA (327 nucleotides) under Triticum aestivum (bread wheat). RNAcentral describes it as "partial small subunit ribosomal RNA". The record is from RNAcentral. Lineage: Eukaryota; Viridiplantae; Streptophyta; Magnoliopsida; Poales; Poaceae.
AUGGCGCCGAAGAAGACGCCGAAGGGCAAGUCGGGCUUCUUCGGCGUGAGGCAGAAGCCCUCCGGUAACUGGGGUGUGGAGUUCUCCGAAGCCGGAAGGCGUUGGUGGAUCGACACGUACCCCUCCGCCCACGAGGCCGCGUGUGCCUACGACGUGGCGGUGUGGCGUGCCGAGAGGCCUCGGUCGCACCUCAACUUUCCAGAGAUCGAGAGUCGGGCGAUAGCGGAGAUGCUUGUGCCGCAGGGCAUCAACAUGAAGGAGAUCACGACGAAGAAGAAAGGAGACAAAGAAGCCGUCGGUUGUCGUCAGUGCUGGCGAGACCAAUGA